Molecule: long non-coding RNA, 1473 nt
Organism: Carya illinoinensis
Lineage: Eukaryota; Viridiplantae; Streptophyta; Magnoliopsida; Fagales; Juglandaceae
Exons: 2
Source: RefSeq, a predicted model, not a curated record
AGGUUAUAAUAUAAGAGGACGCAAGUAUAUAACUAAAGGCCUUGGCUUCCAUGAUUUCAUGAUCUUCCUUCCACAUGAGACGUGACUCCUAAAUUAAUUAAGCUCAACCCACGUCUUUUAUUAAUGAUAACUGGCCAUUUACGCGUUUGGCCGCCACAGCUUCAUGGCAUUCACGAAUUUCUUCUGAAGGUCAACCGUACUGGCGGCCUGAACUCCCGUUUUAUCUAUAUCCAUAGAUCUACUUUAUAUCCCUGCUUUGUUUUUCAAAUUUUGGUUCUAUCUAACUGGAUGAGUACGUUUUUGCCCCUGGAUUCAUUUUACUUUUAAAACAACGAAAAUCUCUCUCUCUCUCUCUCUCUGAGUCGGCAACCAUCUCUCUGUUUCUUUCUCUGUAAUAAGCUGCAACCCUCUCUUUUUCAUUAAUUCACAGUCGUCAUCCUCCUUGUGGACAAAAAUCAUGGCAGAAAUCAUUGAGGUGUAGUUUGUGUAGAUCUCAGAUAUUUAGUGGAAAAGGACGCCAUGGCCAACUGCAAAGAGGAGGUGAGGAUGAGGAUGGAGGGAUGUUCGGUGAUGUGUCUCAAGGCUCGUCAUUUCACAACAUCUGAAUUUUUUUCCCGAUCUUUUACUGUAACCCUAUAGUUUUUCUUUUAGCUUUUCUUUAUUUGGUUGUUUGGUGGAGAAGUGGUGGAUUGGGGUGGCUCGAGUCGUGGAGGCCCAUUGUGGCUCAUGGUGGCACUGCAAGCGGCUUUGCGUGGCGGCACCAUUUGUGGCUACACGGAUGUAUCUAGAUCCGAGAGGGAGAGAGAUCCUAGGGGAAGAUAAAGAGAUUGCCAUGGGUGGUCGGCAUGGGGAGAUUGGCAUGAUGGCAUUCCGGCCGAUAAGGCUGGGGCCAGUGGAUGGCUCACGAUGGCGAUACAAGGAUCUAACAAAUUCUGGGAGAUAGAGAGAGUGCUUUGGGUAGAGAUAGGACCUGUGGGGGAAGCUCAUCAUUGACGACGUGCUCGUGGUACUGUUAAUUUGAGGCGACAGUUGAUGGAUGAGGUGGCGUGAGGGAGAAAUUAGGAAGAGAAUUGGUGUGUUUUGGCAUGACUGCUGGGAGAGAAAAAGACGGUCAAAUGUUAGGGGGUUCAGCAUGGGGUGAUGCCGUCGAUGCUACGGUGGUGGCGGGUAAAGGAAGGGGAAGCUAUGUGGCUAGGGGAAUCAAGGAGAGAGAGAGAGAGAGAGAGAGAGAGAGAGAGAGAGAGAGAGAGAGAGAGAGCUGGACAUGGAGGAGUAAGAAGGAAGAAGAAAAGAAGGGAAACAACUAGGGUUUGGUGGGUUUUAAUUUAAGCCAUUCAUCCUAAGGUUUUUAGAUCUAAUCCAACAAUCAUGACAUGAUUUAAUCAUGAGAUUGAGCUACUUUUUAUUUUUAUUAUCACUUUUUUUUUUCCUUAUGGAUGGACUUAAAAUUGAAUAAUAGUAUUUUUUAUAUUA